Molecule: ribosomal RNA, 1002 nt
Filed under: Triticum aestivum (bread wheat)
Lineage: Eukaryota; Viridiplantae; Streptophyta; Magnoliopsida; Poales; Poaceae
Description: partial small subunit ribosomal RNA
Source: RNAcentral
AUGGUUCGAGAGGAGGUAGCAGGAUCCACUCAAACACUACAGUGGAAGUGUGUUGAAUCAAGAGUGGAUAGUAAGCGCCUUUAUUAUGGUCGUUUCAUUCUGUCCCCGCUUAGAAAAGGUCAAGCGGACACCGUCGGUAUUGCCUUGCGAAGAGCUUUACUUGGAGAAAUAGAAGGAACAUGUAUCACACGUGCAAAAUUUGGGAGCGUGCCGCACGAGUAUUCUACAAUAGCAGGUAUUGAAGAAUCCGUACAAGAAAUUUUACUAAAUUUGAAAGAAAUUGUAUUGAGAAGUAAUCUCUAUGGAGUUAGAGACGCAUCCAUUUGCGUCAAAGGUCCUAGAUACAUAACUGCUCAAGAUAUCAUCUUACCGCCUUCCGUAGAAAUCGUUGAUACGGCACAACCUAUAGCUAACUUGACAGAGCCCAUUGAUUUCUGUAUUGAUUUACAGAUCAAGAGAGAUCGUGGAUAUCAGACAGAACUCAGAAAGAACUAUCAAGAUGGAAGUUAUCCUAUAGAUGCUGUAUCCAUGCCUGUUCGAAAUGUGAAUUAUAGUAUUUUUUCUUGUGGGAAUGGAAAUGAAAAACACGAGAUACUUUUUCUAGAAAUAUGGACUAAUGGAAGUUUAACCCCUAAGGAAGCACUUUAUGAGGCUUCUCGUAAUUUGAUUGAUUUAUUUCUUCCUUUUCUACACGCGGAGGAAGAGGGCGCUAGUUUCGAAGAAAAUAAAAACAGGUUUACUCCACCCCUUUUUACUUUUCAAAAAAGAUUAACUAAUCUAAAGAAAAACAAAAAAGGAAUUCCAUUGAAUUCUAUUUUUAUUGAUCAAUUAGAAUUGACUUCUAGAACGUAUAAUUGUCUAAAAAGGGCCAAUAUACAUACACUAUUGGACCUUUUGAGUAAGACUGAAGAAGAUCUUCUGAGAAUUGACAGUUUUCGUAUGGAAGAUAGAAAACAUAUAUGGGACCUCAAUCCAUUGAACUAUUCCGCAAUAUUCUUCUGA